This 21-nucleotide non-coding RNA is filed under the name Arabidopsis thaliana (thale cress). Lineage: Eukaryota; Viridiplantae; Streptophyta; Magnoliopsida; Brassicales; Brassicaceae. The record is from RNAcentral.
UGAUUACUUGACUUCACAGAC